RNAcentral lists this ribosomal RNA (420 nucleotides) under Fusobacteriota bacterium. RNAcentral describes it as "Fusobacteria bacterium partial 16S ribosomal RNA". It matches the Rfam family "Bacterial small subunit ribosomal RNA", at positions 355 to 776 of the family's 1533-position model. The record is from RNAcentral. Lineage: Bacteria; Fusobacteriati; Fusobacteriota.
UGGGGGAUAUUGCACAAUGGGCGAAAGCCUGAUGCAGCGACGCCGCGUGGGGGAUGAAGGCCUUCGGGUUGUAAACUUCUUUUGCUCUGAACAAGGCAUGCCUUUGGGGUGUGUUGAGUGUAGGGGUUGAUUAGCGCCGGCUAACUACGUGCCAGCAGCCGCGGUAAUACGUAGGGCGCGAGCGUUGUCCGGAAUUAUUGGGCGUAAAGGGCUUGUAGGUGGCUGGUUGCGUCUGUCGUGAAAGCUCAUGGCUUAACUGUGGGUUUGCGGUGGGUACGGGCUGGCUUGAGUGCAGUAGGGGAGGCUGGAAUUCCUGGUGUAGCGGUGGAAUGCGCAGAUAUCAGGAGGAACACCGAUGGCGAAGGCAGGUCACUGGGCCGUUACUGACACUGAGGAGCGAAAGCGUGGGGAGCGAACAGG